RNAcentral lists this transfer RNA (69 nucleotides) under Ictidomys tridecemlineatus (thirteen-lined ground squirrel). RNAcentral describes it as "Spermophilus tridecemlineatus (thirteen-lined ground squirrel) tRNA". It matches the Rfam family "tRNA". Rfam says of the family: Transfer RNA (tRNA) molecules are approximately 80 nucleotides in length. Their secondary structure includes four short double-helical elements and three loops (D, anti-codon, and T loops). The record is from Rfam by way of RNAcentral. Lineage: Eukaryota; Metazoa; Chordata; Mammalia; Rodentia; Sciuridae.
GGGGUUGUAGCUCAGUGGUAGAGUGCUUGCCUAGCACACAUGAGGCACUGGGUUCAAUCCUCAGCACCA